This is a long non-coding RNA of Drosophila miranda, 519 nucleotides long. RefSeq lists it as uncharacterized. NCBI's taxonomy places the organism in Eukaryota, Metazoa, Arthropoda, Insecta, Diptera, Drosophilidae. The record is from RefSeq and is a predicted model, not a curated record. The transcript has 3 exons.
AUGUUCCUGAAAGAGACAUGCUCUUCAAACGCCUUUUGGUCUAAUAUGAUAUAAUCAAGCAUCAUUCAUGGAUAUAUGCUGUAAUGAUGCACUCUUGACCUUUUUGAGCGACGAAUUAUGAGACUCUAUCUGCAUACAAUAUCAGCUCUAGCCCAGAGCUAUAUGGGUACUUCAUGAAUGCAAUUCUUAAUGGGAGGGCUCUAUGAGUGGAGCGAAGCCAGAUAAUUGCGGCUUUCUGUGCAAUGGAAAUUAACUUUCAAUUUGGAAUGCUUUACAGUAGAGUAAAUAACAUGAAAGGAGUCCGGGGUAGGCCGGUUUGGAUCCAUCACAAUGAAAUCAGCGAGAAUACCGAAAAAGGAGAAAUCCCCGCAAAAAAAGGAGCCGAAACAUUAACAGAAAUUGGGCCGACUAAUCAUAGUAUUGAGUAGAAAUGGCAGAACAGCAGAGAGAAAAAAUGCUUGACUUCCACGUAAACGGGAGAGCGGGCCGCAAAGGUUGCUACGAGUGACCUUCUCCUUG